Molecule: ribosomal RNA, 468 nt
Filed under: uncultured bacterium
Lineage: Bacteria
Description: partial 16S ribosomal RNA
Rfam family: Bacterial small subunit ribosomal RNA
Source: RNAcentral
GACGAACGCUGGCGGCGCGCCUAACACAUGCAAGUCGAACGGAGCUGAGAGAAGCUUGCUUUUCUUAGCUUAGUGGCGAACGGGUGAGUAACGCGUGAGUAACCUGCCCUGGAGUGGGGGACAACAGUUGGAAACGACUGCUAAUACCGCAUAAGCCCACGAUCCGGCAUCGGAUUGAGGGAAAAGGAUUUAUUCGCUUCAGGGUGGACUCGCGUCCAAUUAACUAGUUGGUGAGGUAACGGCCCACCAAGGCGACGAUUGGUAGCCGGACUGAGAGGUUGAACGGCCACAUUGGGACUGAGACACGGCCCAGACUCCUACGGGAGGCAGCAGUGGGGGAUAUUGCACAAUGGGGGAAACCCUGAUGCAGCGACGCCGCGUGGAGGAAGAAGGUUUUCGGAUUGUAAACUCCUGUCGUUAGGGACGAUAAUGACGGUACCUAACAAGAAAGCACCGGCUAACUACGUG